RNAcentral lists this long non-coding RNA (292 nucleotides) under Ananas comosus (pineapple). RNAcentral's name for it is "long non-coding RNA (ACOM_LNC027637)". Lineage: Eukaryota; Viridiplantae; Streptophyta; Magnoliopsida; Poales; Bromeliaceae. The record is from RNAcentral.
AUUUUCUCCUCUCUCUUAAUUUCUCCAUUCAUUCAUUGUUACAAUUUUGUACUAACACUUUAGUACAAAUAUUGUUACAUUUAUAUUAAAGAGUACAAUAUAGGUAUAAAUAGUGUAAUAUGGAGAGCUAGGCUACUAUACUAUCUAUAGUAUCGAGUUCCGGUACUAUAGUGUUGGUUUUCGAUCUUAGGGCGUUCAAAUCAACGAUCCACACCGUUAAAACUGAUCUAGGGUAUUUAAAGUUUUUAGAAAUAAAAUUUUAUAUUUUUUCGACAUAGUUUACUUUAUGAUC